RNAcentral lists this ribosomal RNA (301 nucleotides) under uncultured bacterium. RNAcentral describes it as "partial 16S ribosomal RNA". It matches the Rfam family "Bacterial small subunit ribosomal RNA", at positions 509 to 807 of the family's 1533-position model. The record is from RNAcentral.
CAGUCGCCGCGGUAAUACGGAGGGUGCGAGCGUUAAUCGGAAUUACUGGGCGUAAAGGGUGCGUAGGUGGUUGAUUAAGUUAUCUGUGAAAUUCCUGGGCUUAACCUGGGACGGUCAGAUAAUACUGGUUGACUCGAGUAUGGGAGAGGGUAGUGGAAUUUCCGGUGUAGCGGUGAAAUGCGUAGAGAUCGGAAGGAACACCAGUGGCGAAGGCGGCUACCUGGCCUAAUACUGACACUGAGGCACGAAAGCGUGGGGAGCAAACAGGAUUAGAUACCCCUGUAGUCCCUGUCUCUUAUAC